GCUGGGCAUGUUGGCUCAUGCCUGUAAUCCCAGCACCUUGGGAGGCUGAGGUGGGUGGAUCACCUGAGGUUAGGAGUUCAAGACCAGCCUGACCAACAUGGUGAAACCCUGUCUCUA
Molecule: non-coding RNA, 117 nt
Filed under: Chlorocebus sabaeus (green monkey)
Lineage: Eukaryota; Metazoa; Chordata; Mammalia; Primates; Cercopithecidae
Source: Rfam by way of RNAcentral